GACACAAGUAAUUUCUCAUUUUCCUCCCAGACUCAUGUCUAUAGCUCCAAUAAAAUCUCUUAAAAUGGGAGGGAAAUCAUCUAAACUAGAUGAUCCAGGGAGAAGGGAGAAAUCCUUAUGUAGUGAUACCCUUGGCCAGGUCACCUGCUGGGACUGAACCUAUAAUAUCUGGAUCUAAAAGCAUGAGCAUUUAAUGCUUGAGCUAGGCACAGAAGCAGACUCAUUGCCCAUACAUACCUUAAAAGGGAACAAAGAGCUAAAAUGUGUUAGUAUGGACACCACACUCCCAUUUAGUUGGGGAAGCUCAUUCUAAGUUUCAGAAGUCCACACAGGGCAUUAUUUGUAACAAUGUCAGUGGAAGAGUUAUCUGUGGGGAUUGUAACCAAGACUUACACAUCUAAAGGCAUGAGCCUCUACCGGUGGAGCUAAAGGACCAGGUUGAUUAGUUUGAAGGUGGCAGUAAACCUCUUUAUGUGGUAUAGCCAAAGGAGGGGAACAAAGAACCACAUUAUUUUAGCAUGGCUUACUGCUGAGUUAGAUGAUGUAAUGUCUCUCAAAACUAUGAAUGCUGAGCAACAAAUGAGUGCUGGACCUAGAAAUUGUUUCUGAGUUGCAACUCAUCACCAACUGGGGAAAGAGGAGCAAAAGCCAGAUACCAUUAGAAAACAAAAGUUAAUAGCAGACUUUCCCUAAGUGGUACUGGUAACUGAACACUAGCAGUAAUAAGAGGGUCUGAAGAUAAAGUAUCUGGCUACCUAGAGAGGGCCCAGAAUCUGUCUCCAUGCCCAUCAAUGAUAACAGACCACAACACCAGCCGUUUUUCAUGAACGAAUGGCAUUGUGAAAGGAGAGCUGGCUAGAAGCCCAGGCUUGCCUGCUUUUCCUGCCACAUAUUUCCUCCUGUGGGAGAGGAUGCAACACAGCAUCCAGGAAACAGAUGUCAGCUCUUUUAUGUCAGCAGGUGUUGUAGAAGGAGCACAGUUCGGGGUUUGGAAGAGGUUCAAAAUCUUCACUAUGUCCCAGCUUGUACAAAGGCAGGAGGAUGUGAGAAGAAUUUCUUUUUGGUAGGUAAAGUCACAACAGCUCAGAGCAAGGAAUCUGUUGUCAAGUCAGAGGUUACUGUGUGUGUGUGACAAGUAUAGAAAACUAACAUUUACAAGAAUACUGUUGUCUGAAGUAUUCAAAAAAAACACUGGGGCUACGAUCCUGGACAUUGUCUCUCUUUUGCUCCUACUGUUGAUUAGAAGCAUCGGAAUAUUGUAAAUUAUAUAUGAACAGUAGAUGUUGGUAUAAUUUUUAAACUGCUAGCAACAAAGUGGCAAUUUAAUUUUGAAGACAUAUUUGGAAUCUGAAGUUACUCACUGUGUGCAGUAACUUUUGUUCUUCGAAAUGUGUGUCCCUAUGGGCCCUCCACUAGGUGUGCUUGCGUCCCUGUGUUGCUGAUUGGAGAAUUUUGGUAGCAGUGUCUCUUCAGCCUGCACAUGUGCCAUCACCCGCGUGCUCUGCCAUUAAGCUAACCAGCAUUGCUUGGGCAAACCCCCCUCAGUUCCUUCUCUCCUGCAGAGUUUAUGAUGAGAACUCUGAAAUGGAGAGGAGGAAGAUGGGUCGUGGAGCACCCAUAAAGACACACAUCUCAAUGAACCAUCGUUAAUGCAAAAGGUGAGUAACUUCUUUUUUGAGUAGUGUCUUUAUGGGUGCUCCACUAUAGGUGACUCCUAGGCAGUAUCCCCCACGGGAGGCUGGGGCUUCGGAGUAGAGUCUGUUAUGGGUGAUAAUACUGCACAGCCAAAUCUAGCAUCUCCAGCGGCAUCCCCCAGGAUGGCAUAGUGUUCUGCAAAGGUAUAUCCAGAUACCCAAGUAGCUGCUCUGCAAGUUUCUGAUAUGGGGACACCCUUGAAGAAGGCGACUUCUGAGGAAAUCGAUUUUGUAGAAUGUAUGAUGGAGGUGCUAAACUGCAAAUCUGGUAACAGAGUUUGAUACAGUUCGAGACCUAUUUAGAAAGUCUCUAAGCUGAAAUUGCUGUCCUUUUAGACCUAUCUGCAAUGGAGAGGAAGAGCCUAGGAGAUUUCCUAAAAGCCUUUGUCCUGUCCAAAUAGAAAGCCAAGGCUCCCCUUACAUCAAGCGUAUGUAGAACAGCUUCCCUAUUAUCCAGGUGUGGUUUGGGGUAAAAGGUCGGGACGUAAAUUAAUUGAUUUAUAUGAAAUGUGGAAGUCACUUUGGGUGUCAACUUUGGGUGUGGUCUGAGUGUGACUUUGUCAGGAAAGUACACAUAAAAGGGGGAAUGCACCAUCAAGGAUAUCUCCCCUAUCCUCCUUUCUGAGGUAAUAGCAAUCAGAAAUGCCAUCUUCAGUGAAAGGUGAAUUAGUGAACAAGUGGCCAUAGGUUUCAAAGGGCUGUCUGCUCAGUCAUUUUAAUACUAAAUUCAGGUCCCAUUGUGGGGUAGGAUGUCUGGGUUGGGGAAAGAGGUUCGCUAUGCUUUUAAGGAGCCUCUUCAUAGUUGGGUGCGAGAAAACUGAGUACCCUUCUAUUUGUUGGUGAAAAGUUGCUAUUGCCACUAAGUAUACCUUUAGUGAACUAAUAGAGUCUCCUGAUUUCUCAAGAGACAGUAAAUAGUCUAAGAUUAUUGGUAGAGUGGCAGUAUUUGGGGUAAUUCUUCUGGAAUGGCAUCACAUCUGAAACCUGGUCCACUUUUGUAGGUAAAUAUGACAGGUAGUCAUUUUCCUACUGUGAAGUAACACCUCCUGUACUUCCUCAGAGCAGGAUGUUUCAAUGUGGUGGAACCAUGAAGGUGCCAGGCUUUGAGCCAUAAUAUCCACAGGUUAGGAUGGAGAGAGUGUCCAUCAUUCUGUGAGAGGCGGUAAGGAGUUGGUUGAAGAAUCAUCUGUGGACACAGUGCCAACUGUGACAGGCGAGGAUACCACAUCUUUCUCGGCCAGGUGGGAGUGAUCAGUAUGAUGUUUGCUCUCUUUUUAUUUUCAACAGGACUUUCAGCAACAGAGGGAAUGAGGGAAAGGCAUAAAGAAGACCCUUGUCCCAUGAGAAGAGGAGAGCGUCCCCUAUGAAGUGCUGGCCGAUGCCUGCUCUGGACUAGUGCUGUGGAUACUUCUUGUUCUAACCCAGACUUCUGAAUAAAUCCAAAAUUGUAUCGGUAACUCAUUUGGGUUCAUCAAAGGAUGGUGCCCUGAGAAGACAACCAUCCAGAUUCAGACUAACACGGCUACCCCUCUGUUACCAGACAUGGGUAGGACUUCAUGGACGUGUCGACUGCAACACAGCUCUGCAGAAUCCAGCAUCAUCCCUGGCUUGCUGGGUGAUGGCAUAAUGCAUCAUGAACAUGUGUACUGAUGACCACGUGGCAGCUCUGCAGAUGUCCUGGAUGGGAACAUGCGCUAGAAAGACCACCGAGGACGCUUGUGCCCUGGUCAAGUGGGCCUUUAGUACAGGUGGUGGCUUGGACCACGCCAACUCAUAACAGGUCUGGAUACACAAGGUGAUCUGGUUAGAGAUCCUCUGCGAGGACACCGAUAGGCCUUUCAUCCUGUCCGCGGUCAUGAUAAAAAGUUGGGUCGACUUGCAGAAGGCCUUGGUGCGCGCCAGGUAGAAGGCUAGGGUGCUCCAGAUGUCUAAGGUGUGCAGCAGCCUGUCCUCCACAGUUAAGUUCGACUUUGGACAGAGAAUCGGGAGAAAGAUAUCCUGGUUAACAUGAAGUGAGACACCACCUGGGGCAGGAAUGUGGGGUCGGCUCGCAGCUGGACCUUAACCUUGUAGAGAACGGUGUAAUGGGGCUCUGAAGUGACAGCUUUAAUCUCGGAAACUCACUUUCCUGAGGUAAUGGCUACAAGGAAAGCUACCUUCCAUGACAGGUGUGAAAGGGAGCAGGAGGCCAGUGGCUCAAAGAGAGGCCCUCUGAGCCUCGAGAGGACACAGUUGAGGUCCCAUUGUGGAAUCACACCCAGACCAGUGGGAAGAGCCGCUCUAGUCCUUUCAGGAACCAAAUGGACAUGUCAUGUGAGAACACCGAUUUGCCCUGAACCUUCUGGUGGAAAGCUAAUAUGGCUGCCACAUGCACCUUGAUGGAGGAAAGCGCGAGGCCUUGUUGCUUAAGGUAGAACAGGUAAUUGAGGAUGUACUGCACAGACGACCGUGUCGGGGAGAUGCCAUGCUCCUCCACCAAGCAGGAGAAUUGCUUCCACUUCGCCAAGUAAGUUGCUCUGCUUUCCAAGAGGACCUGCUGUACCUGGCUGGAGCAGGCCCUUUCCUCUGGGUUCAGCCACCAAGCCGUGAGGUAGAGGGAGGGAAGGUUCGGAUGCAGGAGCUGUCCGUUCUCUUGCAAGAGGAGAUCCGGACGGCUGGGUAGUGGCAAUGGGGGUGCCACGGCUAGGUUCAUGAGUGUGCCGAACCAGUGCUUGCGAGGCCACACAAGGGCAAUCAUGAUUACCCUUGCCUUGUCUCUUUUGACUUUUGCUAGGACCCUGCUGACCAGCAGAAAUGGCAGGAAUGAGUACAUCAGAUCCCCCUCCCAUGACAGAAGGAAAGCAUCGGAAAGAGAGUCCCUGGCUAGAUCCCGGAGAGAGCAGAAGUGCUGGCACUUCCUGUUCUGCCUGGUGGCAACAGGUCCAUUCGGGGAGCCCCCCACCUUUGGAAGAGCACCUGGACAACCUGCAGGUGAAGGGACCACACGUGGGAAGAGAAAAAAGACCUGCUGAGGUGAUCCGCCAGUGCUUUCCAGAUGCCGCAGAGGUGCGAUGCCUCCAGAUGGACGUCAUGCUGAAUGCAAAAGUCCCACAAACGAAGUGCUUCCUUACAGACGGCCAACAAGCGAGCUUCCCCUUGCCUGUUGAUGUAAAACAUUGAGGCUGUGUUGUCUGUGAGUAUAUGUGCACUUUGACUGGAAAGGUAAGGCAGGAAGACUCCGCAGCUCCUCUGGGGACCGUGUCCCUUGGGUCUGCAAUGUGCCGAGAUGCGCUCCCCAGCCGAGGUCGGAGGCAUCCAAUAUCAGAGAUAUCAAGAGUUGGGACUCUGAAACGGAACUCAUUCCAGGACCACCUUUGGAUUGGUCCACCACUGCAGAGAGACAAGUACCUUUGGUGGAAUCAUGACAAUCUUGUCCAGAUGGUCUCUGGGCGGGGUGUAGAUUGUGCAGACCCAGGCCAUGGUGAGGGGAUACGUAGAGAUGCUGGCAAUGAGACCUGCCAUUGUCUCUAAUCUGUCUUGCAGCAGAAAUGCUCUGGCACGGGUGGAGUCGAGGACUGUUCCAAUUAAUUUUAUGCACCGGGACUAACAUUGAUUUUUCCUCGUUUAUUAACAGGCUCAGAGCACAGCACAGCACAUGAGCUGCAGCACUGAGAUAUUGUGUUGGACCUGAGACCUAGAUGAGACCCUUGACGAGCCAGUCAUCGAGGUAUGGGUAAACCUGGAUACCUCGCCGCCUGAGGAAGGCCACUACCACCGCCAUGCAUUUGGUAAACACCCUCGGAGCUGUAGCCAGGCCGAAUGGGAGCACUGCGAACUGGUAGUGAGCGGGACUCACUGUGAAGCGCAGGAAUCAUCCGUGUCCCUGGAAUAUUGACACAUGGAAGUAUGCAUCUUUCAAAUCAAGGGCAGCGUACCAGUUUCCCGGAUCCAGGGGGCAAUGAUGGAAGCCAGGGAGACCAUGCAGAAUUUCAACUUCUUGAGAUAACUCCCUGAGGAACCUGAUGUAAGAUUGAGAAGGACAAUUUAAGAAAACAAGCAUUCGUCAAACAACAAUUGAUUACACCAUGAUGGUGCAAAACUCAUUGGUCCCAAUGAAGGAAAAUCACUAUAUAAACAGGAUGCCUAGCCAUGAAACUUUGGGUUCGUCCUGCCAAGACUUCCCUGGUGUAUCGUGUCGCAACCCGAUGAAAUCCGGCUCCUCCCUAUCGGUGAUCAAUCUAGCUUGCCAAUAGGUUGAUCCAGACUCUGGACUGGUAACUAUAACAUCGACUGGUGGGAUAAUGUGUGUGUCUGUGUGUGCUGUAAUUGAAUGCAUAUGGUAAUUGUUGUAUCUUCAAUAAAUGUGGCAUAUUGCCUUUUCCCUUGAAAAAGAUCCCGUGUGCUUCUUUGGGCAUAACAGCUGGACA
Long non-coding RNA from Trachemys scripta elegans, 6100 nucleotides. RefSeq lists it as uncharacterized. NCBI's taxonomy places the organism in Eukaryota, Metazoa, Chordata, Testudines, Emydidae. The record is from RefSeq and is a predicted model, not a curated record. The transcript has 3 exons.